Molecule: ribosomal RNA, 492 nt
Filed under: uncultured bacterium
Lineage: Bacteria
Description: partial 16S ribosomal RNA
Rfam family: Bacterial small subunit ribosomal RNA
Source: RNAcentral
AGUGAACGCUGGCGGUAGGCCUAACACAUGCAAGUCGAACGGCAGCACAGUAAGAGCUUGCUCUUACGGGUGGCGAGUGGCGGACGGGUGAGGAAUACAUCGGAAUCUACUUUUUCGUGGGGGAUAACGUAGGGAAACUUACGCUAAUACCGCAUACGACCUACGGGUGAAAGCAGGGGAUCUUCGGACCUUGCGCGAUUGAAUUAGCCGAUGUCGGAUUAGCUAGUUGGCGGGGUAAAGGCCCACCAAGGCGACGAUCCGUAGCUGGUCUGAGAGGAUGAUCAGCCACACUGGAACUGAGAAACGGUCCAGACUCCUACGGGAGGCAGCAGUGGGGAAUCUUGGACAAUGGGCGAAAGCCUGAUCCAGCCAUACCGCGUGAGUGAAGAAGGCCUUCGGGUUGUAAAGCCCUUUUGUUGGGAAAGAAAAGAAGCAGGUUAAUACACCGAUGUUCUGACGGUACCCAAAGAAUAAGCACCGGCUAACUUCGUG